CACUGCGCAUCGUGUUUGAAGCAGGACUGCUCGCUUGUUUAAAUGAAAAGUGUAUAUGUGUAUUCAUACUUCUAAAGAGCAAAACUAAAAACAAACUUAUAUAAUAAUAUUAAUAAUAAUAAAUAAUAAUAAUAAUAUAUAUAUAAACCUCUGCAAAUAAUUCAGUUUCCGGUUCUGUUGGGAUGGCAUUCCCGGUAUGAUUAAUGGCGACCUGCAUCGCUACGCCGCGCGAUUAUCAGCCGAAAAUAAUGGAUUGUCGAUCCUGCCGCCUUUACCUGAUACAAACGGAUCGCCAGUGGUAGUCCGUCUAUCCGUCACACUUCGCGACAUUAUCACGAGUUAGGUAAUGUCCGCAGGUCACGUAUCCAUAUUUAAAUCGGCAAAAAAAAAAACGAUAAACAUUUUCACUUCUACGACUAUCUAUCUCUCUUUUCUCUCUCUAUCUCUAUCUCUUUCGAAUUUCUUUCUAGUGUUAGUUAUUGUCCGAUAUGUGUUAAAGUCAUCUUUCGUGUGGCGCGAGUAUUAUGCGGAUUGUGGGCCCAUCAUGAUCACUGGCGAUUCAUAGACUUGUUAACCAUUAUCGGACACUUGUUGCAUCAUGUAAUGUGCUAGCUUUUACUCUCCCUGUGACACACCGUGGUGUAUAUGUGUGUGUCACGUGUGUCUCGCUUGUGUCGUCUUAGACUAGACACACGUGUCACAGAUGGAACUUGCAGUUCUGGAUUCGGGUACCAGAACACAAGUUCCCCACCUUCGCUCGAUUUAUCCCUCAUAUAAAAAGAAGUCAAUGGUAGUCUCAUGGUGACGAAAUAUCACUUUCUUUUUCUUUUUUGGAACACGAAGCUCAAACUUGCACAAGAACAGCAAGUGAAUUUCAAGGAAAAAAAAAUUACGCUCAAAGUUUCUUAAAAAAAUUCACAGUUGCUAUUUCGUCGCUCAUGAUCCGUCUCGUCUCUGUAAACAUCAUUCAACCGAUAUACGUAUUGUGAAUAAUGAAAAUAAACCUCUCUGUAUUAUAAUCCUUUCAAAAAAGAAAAGAAAAUGCUCUUAGCCUAACCCACAGUCUUUAUAAAAAAAAACAUAAAAUAAAACAAAAUCAGCAUCAAACUUUUUAAAAAAACACACACAUCUCUUUGCUUAGCUCCUUUACUUUGUGAUUGACGCUAGGAUGAGUCUCCAUUGUGUAUUCCCCACUCAAAAUGGUUUUUAGUCCCUCAUGUUUGAGAUUUGUGCAUAGCACUCAUGCCAUGGCUUUACUUAUGGGCACCUGUAUAAAAAAAAACACAGAAAAAUUUGUAGUUUAUGUUGCUUGUUAUGUCACAUUUAUCACGUAGUAGAAAUUUUUGAAUAACAAAGGAGUAUGAUAUAAAAAAAAAAAAAAUAAUGUUAAAUGUGUAAUUUGUUAAUUUUGGAAUCCUCAAAAUCCCUAAAAGGUGUAGUUGGAAUCUGUCUUCAGCGGGACGGGUUGUUUACAAAGAACACAAUUGGUGCAGAUUCUGUACAGUUACUUAUGUAAUAAAGUUGGAAGACUGUUUGUGG
Molecule: long non-coding RNA, 1539 nt
Filed under: Androctonus crassicauda
Lineage: Eukaryota; Metazoa; Arthropoda; Arachnida; Scorpiones; Buthidae
Source: RNAcentral